RNAcentral lists this ribosomal RNA (512 nucleotides) under uncultured bacterium. Its description in RNAcentral is "partial 16S ribosomal RNA". It matches the Rfam family "Bacterial small subunit ribosomal RNA", at positions 28 to 523 of the family's 1533-position model. The record is from RNAcentral.
GAUGAACGCUGGCGGCAUGCCUAAUACAUGCAAGUCGAACGAGAGGAAGGAAAGCUUGCUUUUCUGAAUCUAGUGGCGAACGGGUGAGUAACACGUAGGUAACCUGCCCAUGUGCCCGGGAUAACUGCUGGAAACGGAUGCUAAAACCGGAUAGGUAGCAGACAAGCAUUUGACUGCUAUUAAUGUGGCCAAGGCCAUGAACAUGGAUGGACACGCGGGGCAUUAGCUAGUUGGUGAGGUAACGGCCCACCAAGGCGACGAUGCAUAGCCGGCCUGAGAGGGCGGACGGCCACAUUGGGACUGAGACACGGCCCAAACUCCUACGGGAGGCAGCAGUAGGGAAUUUUCGUCAAUGGGGGGAACCCUGAACGAGCAAUGCCGCGUGAGUGAGGAAGGUCUUCGGAUCGUAAAGCUCUGUUGUAAGAGAAAAACGACAUUCAUAGGGAAUGAUGAGUGAGUGAUGGUAUCUUACCAGAAAGUCACGGCUAACUACGUGCCAGCAGCCGCAGUAA